RNAcentral lists this small nuclear RNA (107 nucleotides) under Tupaia belangeri chinensis (Chinese tree shrew). Lineage: Eukaryota; Metazoa; Chordata; Mammalia; Scandentia; Tupaiidae. The record is from RNAcentral.
GUGCUCACUUCGGCAGCACAUGUACUAAAAUUGGAAUGAUACAGAGAAGAUUAGCACAGCCCCUGCACAAGGAUGACACGCAAAUUUGUGAAGCGUUCCAUAUUUUA